AAAGGAUUGAGCAGGGUUUUGGUUUUGGUUGCAAGUAACAGAAACCCAACGCUAAUUAAUAAACGGGAAAGUGUGUCAGUGGAAAUCUCCACAAGUCCGACGGAAAGAGAAAACUGCUUUCCCAAAGGGUGUAAGAGGAUGAAAGGCAUGUCAUCAGCUGAAUUGCAUCAGGUGUCCAUCUUGGAAUCAAUCACGGUGCCUCUUAUUAGCAAAGCCUGAGUCAUAGGUGAGUCUAUACUUGGAUGGGGUAGUAAGGAAAUCCCAUGUUGAUUGCAUGGAUGGAAAGUGGGGGUGUUGUGGUUUCAUAAUGGC
Molecule: long non-coding RNA, 312 nt
Filed under: Homo sapiens (human)
Lineage: Eukaryota; Metazoa; Chordata; Mammalia; Primates; Hominidae
Description: non-protein coding lnc-EXT1-2:1
Source: RNAcentral